AUAUUGAAAAAUAAGAUUGACAUUUGUUUUUGAAAGAAAAAAGAUUCGUUGCUAAUGUUACUCAGUUCAGUUUUUAACAAUCAUCAUUCAAUUGUUAAAUAGAAGUGAAUGACAGAUUCACACAUAAUUUAUCAUCCAUUUGUUGACAUCUGAGAAAAUUUUUUCGAUCAAAUUGUAUUUUAUUUACUAAGAAUUUGUUAGCUAUGUCGAUAUCGAUUCCGAAUUACAGUGUGAUAUGAUUAGAUGGGGAGGAGAAACCACGAUUAGUAGCCUCCAAAUGGAUCGUAGAAAAUGAAGACAAACAAGUUUUUUGCUUUUUACUUUCUGUAGAAGAUAAAAUUAAAUACAAUACAGCCGUGUUCAAGCUCAACGAAAUGGAAGAACAAUGGAAUAGUAGUCUUGUAAAAGAAAUAAAGUAUCAAACAGAUGACUAUAAAAAAGGAAAAGACAAGCUACUGGAAGCACUUUUACAUUCAGACAUAGAUAGUCAAGCUAGCGAUUACGAUCAAGACUUCUUGAAGAAAACUAGAAAGAUGAGAGCAUCUCAAACUUUUACAUCGAAAAGUAAUAAUGACACCAAUUCUUCAAAUGUGAAAGAAAAAAAGGCAGGUGCUGGAAGCAAAUUUCCUUGUAUGCCAGAGUCUAAAUUUAAAGCACCGUUAGAAUUAGUUGAUAAUUGCAAAAAAGUUUCGUCUUGUUCUGAGGUGCCAAUUAAGAACAAGCCAACUAUCGUUUCUAACAUCGCAUUCAAUUCAGUGCCAUUGCGAAAUUUUAAACUGGAAAAAAAGACGAAACUGUAUUAAAUCAAAACCGAGGUACAUGAAAGGCAAACAGCCCGCAUGAAAACUAGAUCAGAAUGGUUUUUGAUGCCUGAAGUUGAUAGACUGACUGAUUUUGAUAGCGAUUCAACGCCUUUGUACAUACUUAGAGGUUUAAACAAAUCAUCUUCAGGAAAUUUAGCAUCAGGGCUUAGUGUGAGUGCAGAUUCCAUUAAAAGGUCAUGUAUUCGAAAAGCAUCAUCUAAAGAAAAGUGUAAUCUUCAUAGAAGUUCAUCACGAAAAAACAAAGAAAAUGGUGUGAAAAUUCGAACUAUAGAGAGCAAAUCUCAUUCUUUAGAAACUAUAAAAUUAAAUUCACCUAGUCUAUUGAUAAAUCAACAAUUAGAUGAUACUACCAGAAACGCAUCUAAUACAAGUACAACAGAGAAAAAUUGUAAUUCUUUAGAACGAAAUAUUUCUGUAGGUCCCCAUGAUUGUACAGAAAUAGAUAUACAAACAUUUCAUGUCACUUUAACAUACAAACCACGCAUUUGAAACGACGUAGAAGAAAUAACAAGACAAUAAAUAAUCUUUCUGUUAUGUCAUUUGUAUUUUUUACAAUGAAUAUCCUAAAAUUGAUAAUAAUAUUAAUCAUCAGUUGUGAUUUACAGAGUAAUACACGGUGCGCCAUAACCCGACCCAACCCAAAAGUCCU
Leptopilina heterotoma is the source of this 1473-nucleotide RNA transcript. RefSeq lists it as uncharacterized. The transcript is spliced from 5 exons. The record is from RefSeq and is a predicted model, not a curated record. Lineage: Eukaryota; Metazoa; Arthropoda; Insecta; Hymenoptera; Figitidae.